UACGUAGGUGGCAAGCGUUGUCCGGAUUUACUGGGCGUAAAGCGUGCGCAGGCGGUUAUGCAAGACAGAUGUGAAAUCCCCGGGCUUAACCUGGGAACCGCAUUUGUGACUGCAUAGCUGGAGUACGGCAGAGGGGGAUGGAAUUCCGCGUGUAGCAGUGAAAUGCGUAGAUAUGCGGAGGAACACCGAUGGCGAAGGCAGUCCCCUGGGCCUGUACUGACGCUCAUGCACGAAAGCGUGGGGAGCAAACAGG
RNAcentral lists this ribosomal RNA (253 nucleotides) under uncultured bacterium. Its description in RNAcentral is "partial 16S ribosomal RNA". It matches the Rfam family "Bacterial small subunit ribosomal RNA", at positions 524 to 776 of the family's 1533-position model. The record is from RNAcentral.